This 26-nucleotide non-coding RNA is filed under the name Homo sapiens (human). Lineage: Eukaryota; Metazoa; Chordata; Mammalia; Primates; Hominidae. The record is from RNAcentral.
CGGCCAACGUUCGCAUUGAGGAGAAA